UGCCAUUAUUCUACUGUAGUU
This 21-nucleotide non-coding RNA is filed under the name Caenorhabditis elegans. Lineage: Eukaryota; Metazoa; Nematoda; Chromadorea; Rhabditida; Rhabditidae. The record is from RNAcentral.